RNAcentral lists this ribosomal RNA (585 nucleotides) under uncultured bacterium. RNAcentral describes it as "partial 16S ribosomal RNA". It matches the Rfam family "Bacterial small subunit ribosomal RNA", at positions 355 to 1375 of the family's 1533-position model. The record is from RNAcentral.
UGGGGAAUUUUGGACAAUGGGCGAAAGCCUGAUCCAGCAAUGCCGCGUGUGUGAAGAAGGCCUUCGGGUUGUAAAGCACUUUUGUCCGGAAAGAAAUCCUUGGCUCUAAUACAGUCGGGGGAUGACGGUACCGGAAGAAUAAGCACCGGCUAACUACGUGCCAGCAGCCGCGGUAAUACGUAGGGUGCAGGCGUUAAUCGGAAUUACUGGGCGUAAAGCGUGCGCAGGCGGUUUGCUAAGACCGAUGUGAAAUCCCCGGGCUCAACCUGGGAACUGCAUUGGUGACUGGCAGGCUAGAGUAUGGCAGAGGGGGGUAGAAUUCCACGUGUAGCAGUGAAAUGCGUAGAGAUGUGGAGGAAUACCGAUGGCGAAGGCAGCCCCCUGGGCCAAUACUGACGCUCAUGCACGAAAGCGUGGGGAGCAAACAGGAUUAGAUACCCUGGUAGUCCACGCCCUAAACGAUGUCAACUAGUUGUUGGGGAUUCAUUUCCUUAGUAACGUAGCUAACGCGUGAAGUUGACCGCCUGGGGAGUACGGUCGCAAGAUUAAAACUCAAAGGAAUUGACGGGGUCAUAGCUGUUUCCU